CAAUAGCGUAUAUUAAAGUUGUUGCGGUUAAAAAGCUCGUAGUUGGAUUUCUGCUGAGAACGACCGGUCCGCCCUUUGGGUGUGUAUCUGGCUCUUUCUUGGCAUCUUCUUGGUGAACGUUGCUGCACUUGACUGUGUGGAGCGCUACCCAGGACUUUUACUUUGAGGAAAUUAGAGUGUUUCAAGCAGGCAUACGCCUUGAAUACAUUAGCAUGGAAUAAUAAGAUAGGACCUCGGUUCUAUUUUGUUGGUUUCUAGAGCUGAGGUAAUGAUUAAUAGGGAUAGUUGGGGGCAUUCGUAUUUAAUUGUCAGAGGUGAAAUUCUUGGAUUUAUGAAAGAUGAACUUAUGCGAAAGCAUUUACCAAGGAUGUUUUCAUUAA
Molecule: ribosomal RNA, 380 nt
Filed under: uncultured eukaryote
Lineage: Eukaryota
Description: partial 18S ribosomal RNA
Rfam family: Eukaryotic small subunit ribosomal RNA
Source: RNAcentral